GGGGGGGGGGGGGGGGGGGGGGGGGGGGUGGGGGGGGGGCGGAGGGGCGGGGGGGGGGGGGGGGGCUCGGGGGGCGCGCGGGGGGGGGCCGCGUGGGUAACCUGCCCUUGACUUUGGGAGAACUUCAGGAACCUGGGGCUACUCCCGGCUCGGAGCUCCUGCUGCGUGGUGGGGGUUGGAACGUUUCGGCGGUUGGGGCUGGACUCGCGGCUUAUCCGCUUGUUGGUGGGGUAGUGGCUUACCAAGGCUUUGACGGGUAGCCGGCCUGAGAGGGUGACCGGCCACAUUGGGACUGAGAUACGGCCCAGACUCCUACGGGAGGCAGCAGUGGGGAAUAUUGCACAAUGGGCGGAAGCCUGAUGCAGCAACGCCGCGUGCGGGAUGACGGCCUUCGGGUUGUAAACCGCUUUCGCCUGUGACGAAGCGUGAGUGACGGUAAUGGGUAAAGAAGCACCGGCUAACUACGUG
RNAcentral lists this ribosomal RNA (468 nucleotides) under uncultured bacterium. RNAcentral's name for it is "partial 16S ribosomal RNA". The stretch from base 58 to 468 matches the Rfam family "Bacterial small subunit ribosomal RNA", at positions 39 to 507 of the family's 1533-position model. The record is from RNAcentral.